AUGGUCACUCGAGCGAAACGCGGUCUCUUUCAGCCCGUCGACCGUCUCAACCUUCAUGUUUCCCACUCGACUCCUUCUCCUAUUCCUAAAACAUACCGGGGAGCACUACAUGACCCGCACUGGCGUCGUGCUAUGAACGAGGAAUUUGAUGCUCUUGUUGCUAACAGGACGUGGUCUUUUGUUCCACGUCCUCCUCGUGCUCAUGUUGUUUCAGGGAAGUGA
This 222-nucleotide ribosomal RNA is filed under the name Triticum aestivum (bread wheat). Its description in RNAcentral is "partial small subunit ribosomal RNA". The record is from RNAcentral. Lineage: Eukaryota; Viridiplantae; Streptophyta; Magnoliopsida; Poales; Poaceae.